GUCUGCAGCCAUGCCACCCUGAAUGUGCCUGAUCUCGUCUGAUCUUGGAAGCUAAGCAGGGUUGGGUCUGGUUAGUACUUGGAUGGGAGACCACCUUAGGAAUACCAAGUGCUGUAGGCG
This 120-nucleotide ribosomal RNA is filed under the name Pteropus alecto (black flying fox). Lineage: Eukaryota; Metazoa; Chordata; Mammalia; Chiroptera; Pteropodidae. The record is from RNAcentral.